Molecule: ribosomal RNA, 495 nt
Filed under: uncultured bacterium
Lineage: Bacteria
Description: partial 16S ribosomal RNA
Rfam family: Bacterial small subunit ribosomal RNA
Source: RNAcentral
GACGAACGCUGGCGGCGUGCCUAAUACAUGCAAGUAGAACGCUGAAGGAGGAGCUUGCUUCUCCGGAUGAGUUGCGAACGGGUGAGUAACGCGUAGGUAACCUGCCUGGUAGCGGGGGAUAACUAUUGGAAACGAUAGCUAAUACCGCAUAACAGUUGAUAUUGCAUGAUAUCUGCUUGAAAGGUGCAAUUGCAUCACUACCAGAUGGACCUGCGUUGUAUUAGCUAGUUGGUGAGGUAACGGCUCACCAAGGCGACGAUACAUAGCCGACCUGGGAGGGGGAUCGGCCACACUGGGAAUGAGACACGGCCCAGACUCCUACGGGAAGGAGCAGUAGGGGAUCUUCGGCAAUGGGCGGAAGUCCGAACGGGCAACGCCGCGGGAGGGAAGAAGGGUUUCGGAUCGUAAAGCUCGGUUGUAAGAGAAGAACGAGUGUGAGAGUGGAAAGUUCACACUGUGACGGUAUCUUACCAGAAAGGGACGGCUAACUACGUG